AUCCUACGUUGGGAUGCCACGUUUGGGAAAUAUCGUUUGAGAGUCACCUACCCAGAAAUCCGAACUGUUUGGUGGAAACAAUGACCGUAGAGGGUGAGAGUCCCGUAGGACUGACAUAAAAAAGGUAGGACUCGAUAUUGGUAUUUUCUCUCGAGUCAGGUUAUUUGAGAAUAUAGCCUAAAGAGGUGGUAAACUCCAUCUAAAGCUAAAUAUUACUGCGAGACCGAUAGUUAACAAGUACCGUGAGGGAAAGUUGAAAAGUACUCUGAAGAGAGAGUUCAAAGAAUGUGAAACUGCUACGGGCGUAAAGCGGAUACUUGUAGCGCUGUCGAAAUGGUAGACACACUACGUUUUGUACUAAUUUCGUAGUUGUCGCGUAUCGAAGGGAACGAGCGCGUUUGUUUCGUCUUCGGGCGUGUAAACGUUGUCUCGUUUCGUAUAAAACCGACUUCUAAUCGAAACGUACGAACGUACGUAAAUCUUUCCAUAUUAGACGAUCGUACGAAUUGUUGUUAUUAUUUGUCUGAGGCUCGAGUGUCGUCGUUGAAAGGGAAGCUCGAUAUUCGUUGGUUUCGAAAGUUCGCUUUCUUCUCCUCGAAAUCGAGUAGACGCAUUCUUGAAUUUACUGACGGAAUCGACGAUUCGCUAUAUAUAUAUCGAUUCUUCGAUAUAAAACGAUUUCACGCGCAAAGAAACUAUCCGUCCCGUCUUGAAACACGGACCAAGAAGUCUAACGAAUACGCGAGUCGAAAGGUCUUAUUAAACCUGUAGGCGUAAUGAAA
This 782-nucleotide ribosomal RNA is filed under the name Jaera caspica. Its description in RNAcentral is "LSU rRNA". It matches the Rfam family "Eukaryotic large subunit ribosomal RNA", at positions 130 to 724 of the family's 3401-position model. Lineage: Eukaryota; Metazoa; Arthropoda; Malacostraca; Isopoda; Janiridae. The record is from RNAcentral.